UACGGAGGGGGCUAGCGUUGUUCGGAAUGACUGGGCGUAAAGCGCGCGUAGGCGGAUCGUCAAGUCGGGGGUGAAAUCCCGGGGCUCAACCCCGGAAUGGCCUUCGAGACUGGCGGCCUUGAGUUCGAGAGAGGUGGGUGGAAUUCCGAGUGUAGAGGUGAAAUUCGUAGAUAUUCGGAGGAACACCAGUGGCGAAGGCGGCCCACUGGCUCGACACUGACGCUGAGGCGCGAAAGCGUGGGGAGCAAACAGG
RNAcentral lists this ribosomal RNA (253 nucleotides) under uncultured bacterium. RNAcentral's name for it is "partial 16S ribosomal RNA". It matches the Rfam family "Bacterial small subunit ribosomal RNA", at positions 524 to 776 of the family's 1533-position model. The record is from RNAcentral.